Gasterosteus aculeatus aculeatus (three-spined stickleback) is the source of this 1047-nucleotide long non-coding RNA. The record is from Ensembl. Lineage: Eukaryota; Metazoa; Chordata; Actinopteri; Perciformes; Gasterosteidae.
CUUGAGCCGUUGCUUUUAGCUCCUUUUGCAGCUUUCGCAGGAUGCUCUCAGCAACACAAACAAUGACAACGAGGUGAGGACGGAGUGACGACACCAGCCGCACAAGUUCCAAGCGGCUGUAUGGGGCAUCAAAUCACUCUCCUAAUGACAUGUCCAGAGGCUACCUGCAGGAAAAGUGACAUUUUAUCUUCCAACCGAAGCAUCUGAUUGGACAUUGGACGGAAAAGCAAAAAAAAUUGGAUACUGUUUAUUUUUUUUAUUAUUUUUUUUAACUUGUGGAAUUCAUCUUCCUGUGUUUGUGGCUUCAAACAGUAAUCUCUAUUUUCCUUUUGUUCUUAUUUCUGUUUAAUAUAUAUGUAUAUUUUUGUUUCUUUGAUUUUCUUUAGUUUGGGUAACAUAAAUGUCAUCGAGAUCUGUGAGCGUGUUUUGAAACCAUUAGUGUUGUUGUACAUGGAGAGCAAAUGUCCUAGAAUGACAAAAGAUCUCGUGAUUUCAUAUAAAAAAUGUUGCUAAAUCAACAAUUUUAUGUGACAUGAAGGCAAACUGCGAUAUCAUAGGCCUAAGAAACAUAAACGUGAGGAUCUUAUGAAAACAUGUAUUUUCCGAGCCCUUUUUCGAUUCUGGUCUUUUCAUCUUCUCUGUAAUGAGAUAGUCUGAAAAACUAAAGGUCAUUUUUUAUCUGCAUCUUUAUUUCCCUCUACAUUCAUUCUCACAGUGCUAUUUUGUUUCCAACCGAGUCUAUAUUACAGAGCAGCUCACACACACAUUCCCCAGCUGAACAGUACCACUGUAGUGGUGAGAUCCUCACCGGGCCCUUUGAUCUCGCCUCGUCUCUUGUGUCUGCUUUCACGGCCAGCUCUGCAUGCAGAGUCGGUUUUUAAUAUGGCAGCGCACCGUGGGUUCCAGAGUAACAAUAAACUUUACCUUCAACUGUCAGCAGGUCUUAAUCACCGGGAUUACUGGAGCACUAAAUGUUGGAAUCCUGUUAAUAUUACGGCGUUGAAAAAGGUAAACAGACCCAAAGAGAUAAAUAUCGCCCGCCCGUCC